This 468-nucleotide ribosomal RNA is filed under the name uncultured bacterium. RNAcentral describes it as "partial 16S ribosomal RNA". It matches the Rfam family "Bacterial small subunit ribosomal RNA", at positions 28 to 507 of the family's 1533-position model. The record is from RNAcentral.
GACGAACGCUGGCGGCGUGCUUAACACAUGCAAGUCGAACGGAAAGGCCCUGCUUUUGUGGGGUGCUCGAGUGGCGAACGGGUGAGUAACACGUGAGUAACCUGCCCUUGACUUUGGGAUAACUUCAGGAAACUGGGGCUAAUACCGGAUAGGAGCUCCUGCUGCAUGGUGGGGGUUGGAAAGUUUCGGCGGUUGGGGAUGGACUCGCGGCUUAUCAGCUUGUUGGUGGGGUAGUGGUUUACCAAGGCUUUGACGGGUAGCCGGCCUGAGAGGGUGACCGGCCACAGUGGGACUGAGAUACGGCCCAGACUCCUACGGGAGGCAGCAGUGGGGAAUAUUGCACAAUGGGCGGAAGCCUGAUGCAGCAACGCCGCGUGCGGGAUGACGGCCUUCGGGUUGUAAACCGCUUUCGCCUGUGACGAAGCGUGAGUGACGGUAAUGGGUAAAGAAGCACCGGCUAACUACGUG